GGGCUUGUGGUUUAGUGGUAUAAUACUUGCCUUGCAAGCAAGGGGUCCGGGGUUCGAUUCCCCGCGAGUCCA
Aspergillus clavatus NRRL 1 is the source of this 72-nucleotide transfer RNA. It matches the Rfam family "tRNA". Rfam says of the family: Transfer RNA (tRNA) molecules are approximately 80 nucleotides in length. Their secondary structure includes four short double-helical elements and three loops (D, anti-codon, and T loops). Lineage: Eukaryota; Fungi; Ascomycota; Eurotiomycetes; Eurotiales; Aspergillaceae. The record is from Rfam.